Molecule: long non-coding RNA, 474 nt
Organism: Plectropomus leopardus (leopard coralgrouper)
Lineage: Eukaryota; Metazoa; Chordata; Actinopteri; Perciformes; Serranidae
Source: RefSeq, a predicted model, not a curated record
CCCUUCAGCUCAUAGAUCUUCUGAGACAGGUCCUGUAUCUUUUUCCCGCAGAAAACAACACAAACACAUUCUCAACAUUACCUCAAAAUGUUCCAGUUCCCACUGAGUAUCGUUUACAUGCACUAUGCAUCCCUUACAUUUGUGUGAAAAAGGAUAGAACUCAAACAGUUAUUCACAAAUAUUACUCACCUCCCUGUUAUUUUUUGACACUUUAGAAUCAAUGUCAUACCGCUCUUCGUCUACGACAUCGAUUUUUUGGUGAAGCUCCUUGCAGAGAUUCUAUGGACAAAAACGUCUUCAAGUUGGCCUUGAAGUCCACAGACUCUUUGACUUUAGCUCCCAGCAGAGCUCCCAACAUGGCGUCAGCUGAGAUCUUCACCCUCUUAAGAGCAGAAAACCUGUUGAGGUGACCAGUGGCUCUCUUUGAAUGACCAGAGGAAAACUCACGUCAAAUUUAAUAGCUCCUCGUGCAUU